RNA transcript from Octodon degus (degu), 781 nucleotides. It is a transcript of the gene named eukaryotic translation initiation factor 4E type 2 pseudogene, with no coding region annotated. The transcript has a single exon. The record is from RefSeq and is a predicted model, not a curated record. Lineage: Eukaryota; Metazoa; Chordata; Mammalia; Rodentia; Octodontidae.
AUGGAAGUCUUAGAGCACCAGGCAAGCAGAAGAAAUAAAGGACAUCCAAAUAAGAAAAAAAGGGUCAGCAGCAGCAAGAGGAAGGCUGUUGUCCCUGGACCAGCAGAACAUCCCUUGCAGUACAACUACACUUUCUGGUACUCCAGGAGAACCCCAGGCCGUCCCACCAGCUCACAGAGCUAUGAACAGAAUAUCAAGCAGAUCGGCACCUUUGCCUCUGUGGAGCAGUUCUGGAGGUUUCAUAGACACAUGGUACGUCCUGGGGACCUGACAGGACACAGUGACUUCCAUCUCUUCAAAGAAGGAAUUAAACCCAUGUGGGAGGAUGAUGCAAAUAAAAAUGGUGGCAAAUGGAUCAUUCAGCUGCGGAAGGGCUUGGCCUCCCAGUGCUGGGAGAAUCUCAUCCUGGCCCUGCUGGGAGAACAGUUCAUGGUUGGGGAGGAGAUCUGUGGGGCUGUGGUCUCUGUCCGCUUCCAGGAGGACAUUAUUUCCAUAUGGAAUAAGACUGCCAGUGACCAAGCAACCACAGCCCGAAUCCGGGACAUACUUCGGCGCGUGCUUACCCUACCUCCCAACACCAUUAUGGAAUACAAAACUCACACCGACAGCAUCAAAAUGCCAGGCAGGCUGGGCCCCCAAAGGCUCCUUUUUCCAAACAUCUGGAAGCCGCGGUUGAAUGUGCCAUGACCCUCUCCCUCUCUGGAUGGCACCAUCAUUGAAGCUGGCAUCAUCGGAGUCCCUUGUUCUGUUGGUGUGCCUCCUGGAAGACCCUUCUGUGCUG